This 468-nucleotide ribosomal RNA is filed under the name uncultured bacterium. RNAcentral describes it as "partial 16S ribosomal RNA". The stretch from base 12 to 374 matches the Rfam family "Bacterial small subunit ribosomal RNA", at positions 39 to 400 of the family's 1533-position model. The record is from RNAcentral.
GACGAACGCUGGCGGCGUGCUUAACACAUGCAAGUCGAACGGAAAGGCCCUGCUUUUGUGGGGUGCUCGAGUGGCGAACGGGUGAGUAACACGUGAGUAACCUGCCCUUGACUUUGGGAUAACUUCAGGAAACUGGGGCUAAUACCGGAUAGGAGCUCCUGCUGCAUGGUGGGGGUUGGAAAGUUUCGGCGGUUGGGGAUGGACUCGCGGCUUAUCAGCUUGUUGGUGGGGUAGUGGCUUACCAAGGCUUUGACGGGUAGCCGGCCUGAGAGGGUGACCGGAGUGAGGGGGCAUGUGAGGUGGCCGGGAAGGCUACGGGGGGAAGAAGGGGGGGAGAGGGUGUAAUGCGAGGUAGCGAGACGCAGCAAAGCUGCGUGAGGGAUGAGGGUCGGCGGGUUGGAGAAGGGGUGCGGAUGGGAAGAAGUGGGUGUGACGGUAAGGAGGAAAGAAGAACAGGAUAAGGACGUG